AGUAGAGACUGGUAGAAUCAGUAGAGACUGGUAGAAUCAGUAGAGACUGGUAGAAUCAGUAGAGACUGGUAGAAUCCCACUGUAGUAGAGACCGGUAGAAUCAGUAGAGACUGGUAGAAUCCCACUAGACUGGUAGAAUCCCACUGUAUCAGAGACUGGUAGAAUCCUGCUGUAGUAGAGACUGGUAGAAUCCCACUGUAGUAGAGACUGGUAGAAUCCCACUGUAGCAGAGACUGGUAUAAUCCCACUGUAGUAGAGACUGGUAGAAUCCCACUGUAUCAGAGACUGGUAGAAUCCCACUGUAGUAGAGACUGGUAGAAUCCCACUGUAGCAGAGACUGGUAGAAUCCCACUGUAGUAGAGACUGGUAGAACUGUCAGACAACAGACCCAGCCCUAGUGUUACUGACAACAGACCCAGUCCUAGUGUUACUGACAACAGACCCUAUUGUUACUGACAACAGACCCAAGUGUUACUGACAACAGACCCAGCCCUAGUGUUACUGAUAACAGACACAGUCCUAGUGUUACUGACAACAACAGACCCAGCCCUAGUGUUACUGACAACAGACCCAGUCCUAGUGUUACUGACAACAGACCCAGCCCUAGUGUUACUGACAACAGACCCAGCCCUAGUGUUACUGAUAACAGACCCAGCCCUAGUGUUACUGACAACAGACCCUAGUGUUACUGACAACAGACCCAGUCCUAGUGUUACUCCCAACAGACCCUAGUGUUACUGACAACAGACCCAGUCCUAGUGUUACUGACAACAGACCCUAGUGUUACUGACAACAGACCCUAGUGUUACUGACAACAGACCCAGUCCUAGUGCUACUGACAACAGACCCUAGUGUUACUGACAACAGACUCUAGUGUUACUGACAACAGACCCAGUCCUAGUGUUACUGACAACAGACCCUAUUGUUACUGACAACAGACCCUAUUGUUACUGACAACAGACCCAGCCCUAGUGUUAGUCCCAACAGACCCUAGUGUUACUGACAACAGACCCAGUCCUAGUGUUACUGACAACAGACCCAGUCCUAGUGCUACUGACAACAGACCCAGUCCU
Molecule: long non-coding RNA, 1073 nt
Organism: Oncorhynchus tshawytscha (Chinook salmon)
Lineage: Eukaryota; Metazoa; Chordata; Actinopteri; Salmoniformes; Salmonidae
Source: Ensembl